Molecule: ribosomal RNA, 305 nt
Filed under: uncultured bacterium
Lineage: Bacteria
Description: bacterial SSU rRNA
Rfam family: Bacterial small subunit ribosomal RNA
Source: RNAcentral
UAGCCUACGGGACGCAGCAGUGGGGGAUAUUGCACAAUGGGGGAAACCCUGAUGCAGCAACGCCGCGUGAGUGAAGAAGGUUUUCGGAUUGUAAAGCUCUGUUAGCAGGGAAGAGGAAGGACGGUACCUGCAGGGGAAGCCACGGCUAACUACGUGCCAGCAGCCGCGGUAAUACGGAGGAUGCGAGCGUUAUCCGGAUUUAUUGGGUUUAAAGGGUGCGUAGGCGGAAUGCCAAGUCAGCGGUAAAAUCGCGGGGCUCAACCUCGCUCCGCCGUUGAAACUGGCGUUCUUGAGUGGGCGAGAAG